This 508-nucleotide ribosomal RNA is filed under the name uncultured bacterium. RNAcentral's name for it is "bacterial SSU rRNA". It matches the Rfam family "Bacterial small subunit ribosomal RNA", at positions 25 to 518 of the family's 1533-position model. The record is from RNAcentral.
CAGAACGAACGCUGGCGGCGCGUCUUAAGCAUGCAAGUCGAGCGGUAAGAUGGAAGCUUGCUUCUAUCCUAGAGCGGCGGACUGGUGAGUAACGCGUGGGUGACGUACCCUGUGACGGGGACAGCUCCUAGAAAUAGGAGAUAAUACCGGAUACGCUGAGUGUUGUCAGAGGACAUCAGGAAAGGAACUUUUGUCCGCACGAGGAGCGGCCCGCGUACUAUUAGCUAGUUGGUGAGGUAACGGCCCACCAAGGCAACGAUAGUUACCCGGCCUAAGAGGGUGAUCGGGCACAUUGGGACUGAGAUACGGCCCAGACUCCUACGGGAGGCAGCAGCUAAGAAUAUUCCGCAAUGGACGAAAGUCUGACGGAGCGACGCCGCGUGGAUGAUGAAGGCCGGAAGGUUUAGUAAAAUCCUUUUAUGACUGAGGAAUAAGCAGUGUGAGAGAAACGCAUUGUGGUGACUGUAGGUCAUGAAUAAGCAACGGCUAAUUACGUGCCAGCAGCUGC